UACGUAGGGAGCAAGCGUUGUCCGGAAUCAUUGGGCGUAAAGAGCGUGUAGGCGGCCAUACAGGUCCGUUGUGAAAACUGGAGGCUUAACCUCCAGACGUCGAUGGAAACCGUAUGGCUAGAGUCCGGAAGAGGAGAGUGGAAUUCCUGGUGUAGCGGUGAAAUGCGCAGAUAUCAGGAAGAACACCCGUGGCGAAGGCGGCUCUCUGGUACGUGACUGACGCUGAGACGCGAAAGCGUGGGGAGCAAACAGG
This 253-nucleotide ribosomal RNA is filed under the name uncultured bacterium. Its description in RNAcentral is "partial 16S ribosomal RNA". It matches the Rfam family "Bacterial small subunit ribosomal RNA", at positions 524 to 776 of the family's 1533-position model. The record is from RNAcentral.